UUUUUUUUUUUGCUGAAAACGGAUAUUUCAUACAAUACGUGUACGAAUACAUCCAAGAAAGUCAAAAUACAACAACUCACGGAGAGCCUGUGGAAGCUCCCCCUCUCCUCCCUAAAGAGUGUACCCUGAGUAGUCGGCCGCAUAGGUCGCCACCCAGUCGGCCGCCCCAUUAGCUUCCCUAAAUACAUGCUUAACCAAAAAAGCCCUCCCAUCUCCCAUCAUCAUCCGUAAAUCACGGGUCAAGGGAUGGUCUGUACCAUCAGCCGUCUCCCCC
Molecule: long non-coding RNA, 274 nt
Filed under: Phoenix dactylifera (date palm)
Lineage: Eukaryota; Viridiplantae; Streptophyta; Magnoliopsida; Arecales; Arecaceae
Description: long non-coding RNA (PDAC_LNC020629)
Source: RNAcentral